UUACGACUGCGACGCUUCCAACCACCCGCCGUCCGCCAUGGAUAUGUUUGGCAAAGGCGUCGGUUUACCCGCCAACGCCCCUUCUGCGACCCCGUAUUGAUAAAUCAUCCCGGGAGCCGAUUGUACGCGGCACCAAACGAUGACAAACGCCUAAAUCUCCACUUGGCAGCGUUGCUGUAGCCGAGCAUCGACUGACCACGGUUCGUUGUGCGAGAAGGAAGUGAGGAAGGAAGACGACGAGGAGCAGGGACAUAGGAGGUUACAAUUUCCGACCAUGGCAAUAGCAAACUCAACGCAGGAAAUGUUUACCGGAUCUGAAACUCCGUUACCGGAUUCUAUACUCAUCGUUGGGGGCGGGGUGUUCGGAUUGUCCACCGCCCUCGCUCUCUCCGCUAGGCACUCCGGGAAAAUCACACUCAUUGACUCUUCGCCGACGAUCCCCAAUCCACAGGGCUCCUCCGUCGAUACCUCCCGCAUCGUGCGUGCAGACUAUGCCAAUGCGGCGUAUGUCGCGCUGGCAGAAUCGGCUCUUGAGAAAUGGCGUACGACAGCUUGGGGUCAUGAAGGCCGUUAUACGCAGACUGGCCUCGUUCUAGUAUCAUCCGGCGAUAAGUUUGGCAAAGGAUACGUGCAAGAGAGCUACGAGAAUGUCAAAGCUAUAAACCCUAAAAUGAUCGAGAAACUUCCCACGAGAGAGGAUGUUGAACGGGCGGCGCCAGGCUACGGAACUGGCCUGCACGUCUCGGGAGGUUAUGUGAACUGGGGAUCUGGAUGGGCCGAUGCAGAGGCGUCGGUGAGGUUUGCGAAAAAGAAUAUCGACGAGAUGGGGAAGGUGGAUUUUCGUACCGGGGAGGUCAAUCGAUUAUUAGUAUCAACACCACCACAUCCAGAUGAGGGCCAAAGAGGAGCCAAGGGAGCAACAACUGCCGCAUCAUCUGCACGAGCUAAGGUAACCGGCGUUGAACUGUCUGAUGGCACCACCAUCACAGCCGAUCUAGUCAUAUUAGCCACAGGUGCAUGGACAGGCCGUCUAGUUGACCUCCGCGGCAAAGCCGAAGCGACAGGCCAGGCCCUUGCCUACAUCCGCAUUUCCGAUGAAGAGCAAGCCAAGCUCGCAAACAUGCCUACGGUCCUAAACCUUUCGACGGGCAUGUUCAUCAUCCCGCCGCGUAACAACAUGCUCAAGAUCGCGAGACAUGCAUACGGCUACCGGAACCCGCAGCGCGUGCCGGCCCCCGUGUACGGCCCAGGCCGUGGCCAAACAGCAACGACGGUAGAGGUUAGUCUUCCUGUCGCUGACGUCCCGCUCCCGCAGGAAGGAGAGAGCGCAUGCAGGGCCGCGUUGAAAGAGAUGCUGCCGUCGUUUGCCGAUCGGCCAUUUGAAAAGACGCGCGUGUGCUGGUAUACAGAUACACCCAAAGGCGAUUUCAUAAUCACCCACCACCCCCACUACGCCGGUCUCUUCCUCGCAACCGGCGGCAGCGGCCACGCCUUCAAAUUCCUGCCCGUUCUCGGGGAGAAGAUCGUCGACGCCAUCCAAGGUCGUUUGGAUCCUGAAUUGCAAGAACUGUGGGGGUGGCCUGGAGUGGCUGGUGAUGAGGAUGCUGCUGCUGCUGUUGUGUGGACAGAAGACGGGAGCCGGUCUGGCGAGAAGGGUUUGAUUUUGAUGGAUGAGUUGGCGAAGGGGCAAGGG
RNAcentral lists this small RNA (1693 nucleotides) under Histoplasma capsulatum var. duboisii H88. Its description in RNAcentral is "Histoplasma capsulatum H88 hypothetical RNA". The record is from RNAcentral. Lineage: Eukaryota; Fungi; Ascomycota; Eurotiomycetes; Onygenales; Ajellomycetaceae.